Molecule: long non-coding RNA, 243 nt
Organism: Hippocampus zosterae (dwarf seahorse)
Lineage: Eukaryota; Metazoa; Chordata; Actinopteri; Syngnathiformes; Syngnathidae
Exons: 2
Source: RefSeq, a predicted model, not a curated record
GUUUCUGUCAUGAUUUGGUUUAGGGACCAACAGUGCUUUAAAAGGACUCCCAGCCCAAACACUCAGUGUCGGGUCAUUGUUGCUUCUCGCCACUGUCAUGUGUGUUGCUGUUUUGCUCUUGUUUUCUGUCAUGUUUAAUUCAUUGUUAUGUUUGAGAUUUAGUCAUGGUUUUUGUUUGAUACUUUGGACUUUGUGUGUUUUGGAUUUAGUUUUCUUUGUUUUAAAUACAAUUCUUCAAAUACA